Molecule: long non-coding RNA, 436 nt
Filed under: Trifolium pratense (red clover)
Lineage: Eukaryota; Viridiplantae; Streptophyta; Magnoliopsida; Fabales; Fabaceae
Description: long non-coding RNA (TPRA_LNC007612)
Source: RNAcentral
AUUUAUGAAAUCAAUAUCUAUAAAUAUGCAUUUUUGCAGAUUCAAAAAUUUCAUUUAUGAAAUCAAUAUCUAGAAAUAUGCAUUUUUGCAGAUUCAAAAAUAGCUAUAAAUCUGAUCCUUUAAGGCUAAUAUAGUAUACUUGCAAUUGCAACUAGAGUCAAGUAUUGCUAUAACUAGAAAAUGGCAGGAUAAGUCUGGAAACAAGAAAAUGAAGAAGUGAAACCAAAUUACUUUUCUGUGCAAAAUUAGCUCAUAUGAGUUCCCAUCAACUAUUGAUUUCCUUUCUUGGUUGUUAAGCUUGCAAGCUUUCCGAGUAUAUCUGAUUCAUCAAUGGGAUGGCCACCUUUGUAAUGACAGCAAUUAUAGUAUAACAGCAAUUGUAAAAUCCAUAACUGUUCAUUUCAACAAUAAUACAAUAUAUAUGACAUUAUAGUAU